Molecule: ribosomal RNA, 1320 nt
Filed under: Triticum aestivum (bread wheat)
Lineage: Eukaryota; Viridiplantae; Streptophyta; Magnoliopsida; Poales; Poaceae
Description: partial small subunit ribosomal RNA
Source: RNAcentral
AUGGAGCUCACGAAGCAGGGGCGGCCGCCAUUGCCUUCGCGGCCGCGGAGAAGCUCCGUGCCCAUGACGAGCCAGCAGCCAGGGCGGCCGUCGCAGCCGUCGCCGCCGCCCAAGGCCAAUCCGCAGAUGCUCGAGUCCCUGAGAUCCAAACUCAGGGAGGCUCUGGCCGCUGCCUUGAGCAUCAUGGAUUCUGGGCAGCAAUCCUCUGGAAAUUCGGGUUCAGCUGGCGAGUACAGGAUCCGUAAGGCCCGAAGCCUAGCAUCUAACAUUGAAGAGGAGCUGUUCAAAUUGUUCGGAGGGGUCAGCAGGAAGUACAAGGAGAAAGGCGUGUCGCUCGUGUUUAAUCUGGAAGGUGAACACAAUCCCGUGCUGAGGGAAAUGGUUUUGUCCGAACAAAUAUCACCUAAAUGGUUGUGCGCAAUGACUAUUGGGGAGCUUGUAAAAAUGUUUCGGCUUAAGAUACAAGUUGAUGAUAGAGGCUUGGUGAGGAAACCACACAUGGGAGAAUUUCUAGUUGAGGAGGAAGAAACUGACGACGAUGUUUUUCGGGUAUCAGCUCGGCCUCGGGGUGAUUCACUUCCUUGUGUUGUUCCAUCAGAACCCAUUAUUGCAGCUCAAACCAAAUCUGAGGAUGAUAAAACAGCAAGUGCACAAUGCAGGGAGAUCGUCAAGGAAUUGGAAGGCAGUACUGUGCAAGAUGAUGAAGUUGUUGGGACGUGGAACAGCAACACAUCAAGUGAUUUAGAAUAUCUAGCGGGUGAGAUGAAUGAUCUUGUGCUGCAACCAAGGUAUGAUGUCUUGAAUGGGCCAGAGAUCGUCUCAUUCUCUGAUUUCCUGCGGAUCGUUGCUUCAGAACCACAUUCUAAACAUCGGCCCAUUGGUGCCCCGCUGCAAGAUGAUCGUAAUACUAACAAAGCUGAGAAAGUCAACUCAGCAAAUUUCCCCAAAACUAUGGACACGGCUGCUGAAUCAGAAUUCCAAUUUCAUUCUGACGGUGUGUCAUCUCCACAAGGUUACUGUCAAUCCAAGUUAGAAUCACCCAUAAACAAACCAGCUUCAGUUCGGGAUCCAGUUGAUGAACCAAAGGGAGAUGUGUUAGCCAAAUCCUGCCCACAAAUGGUGGAUGCUGAAGAAUCACGUGUUGUUAAUGGCUUGACUGCUGAAUUUGGUAUGCAGUGUGAGAUAACUCCUGAUGUUGCAUUGACGCAUGACAGUAUAUGGGAGGCAACGCUUCGACAAGAGUCUUCGCGCACAAAUAUUGUUGCUCUCUUCAAAAAGUUUGUUUCAUUAACCUUGCUUAUAGUAAUUGUACGCAAUUAA